GACGAACGCUGGCGGCGUGCCUAACACAUGCAAGUUGAGCGACGAACCAGGGCUUGCCCUGGGGCAAAGCAGCGAACGGGUGAGUAACACGUGGGUAACCUACCCCGAUAACCGGGACAACCCGAGGAAACUCGGGCUAAUACCGGAUGUGCUCACUGGACUUCGGUUCAGUGCGUAAAGGAAGCUUCGGCCUCCGUAUCGGGAGGGGCCCGCGGCCCAUUAGUUUGUUGGUGAGGUAACGGCUCACCAAGACCGCGAUGGGUAGCUGGUCUGAGAGGACGAUCAGCCACACUGGGACUGAGACACGGCCCAGACUCCUACGGGGGGCAGCAGUGGGGAAUCUUGCGCAAUGCGCGAAAGCGUGACGCAGCAACGCCGCGUGGGGGAAGAAGGCCUUCGGGUUGUAAACCCCUUUCAGGAGGGACGAAGGUUCGGCGGUGAAUAGCCGUCCGGACUGACGGUACCUCCACAAGAAGCCCCGGCUAACUACGUG
RNAcentral lists this ribosomal RNA (493 nucleotides) under uncultured bacterium. RNAcentral describes it as "partial 16S ribosomal RNA". It matches the Rfam family "Bacterial small subunit ribosomal RNA", at positions 28 to 507 of the family's 1533-position model. The record is from RNAcentral.